GAAGCGCAGCGCACCAUCCACCGAGGCAAGCGCUGAAUGAAAAAAUUCAAACGUUUGGCAUUAAAUGUCAUAUUGACAUAUCAAUAUAUUGGAUUCUUUUUUUUCCUGAUCCGCCAGCACACGGAAAGCUUUCGGUUACAGUACCCUACCAUCCAUCCCCCCGAACCGAACCAGCAACGGUGCUGCAGCAGUUCGAUUCAGCCAGCCAGUUCAAGGGAUUGGCGCUCCGAUCCCGGUCACGAUUGGCCCCUUGUUCGCUCGAUCGGAACUCUCCAAUUCGGUCGUAAUUCAAUAUUUUAUUUAACUUGGCUGUGCGGACAUUCAGUUUUAUUGGAUUGUAAAUUUGCGAGUGAGAGUAAAUUUUGUGACAGUUUUUUGUUUUUGGUUCCAAAGUGUGCGAAGGGGGUUGGUUGAAGAGCGUAAAUUAAAGCUUCACUUCCGGGGUGUCGGUGAUUUUGGCAGCAUUGUUGGCAGCAAGGAGCGAUACAGCAGCAGCAGAGGGACCCAAUCAAGGCAAACAAUAGCUGGUACGGCAGCGACGGCGGCGGAGGCGAGAGAAUGAUGGAUCAUGCGACAAUUUCCAAAUAUACGGACAUGCGAGUGAAAAUUUCCGGCUGGGACGAACGGGUGCAGCAGUUCCCGAAGGAUUGUCCUUGCUGCUCGGUGGGGCGUGCCACUUAUCGCACCUUCGGCUACACAACGAAGCAUUUCAUUCCGAAAACCACCACCCAGGCCAUGUACGAGGACGUCUGGAACGAUCUGUGCCCGCACCGAAGGAGGACCCGUUUCGAGGACUGCGAAGUUUAUCGUUCGACGUACCAGACCGAUUUCGGCAAUCGGUUCCCCAUGGUGUACUAAUCGGUCCCGAUGGGUAUCCCUUCUGCCGUCAUUCCCAAAGUAGUGAUAACGCUUAGAGAGAUAAUGUUGAUUAAUGAGACGGUGGCUGCUGACCAGUCUCACGUUCCUGUCUCGGUCAUCCCAAAAUCACACAACCCAGUGCACCACCACACCACCAGAGAUCAUAAUCAGUUCGGAAAUCCCUUCUGCUUCCUGAUGCGACUCGGCUGUUCCGGAGAGUAGUAGUGGACACGUGUGCGGUCAACCGAAAAAGUGAACUCCGCCGGUGCCGACUAAAUCUACCGAUGAUGAUUAUUUACGAUGGCGAAAUGGAAACAUCCGGUUGGUCCGGUUGGUUGGACAGAUGCAGAACCACAGGGUGCGGCGCGUAGCCUUGGAGUGGACAAUUUAUUGCCGGAAUUAGGCGAACCGAUGCCGAAUCAAGUGGUGAUAGUGUGGUGUUGUGGCGUGUGUCUCAUGUUCCUAAAUUCCGAAUAAAGCCAAAUUGAGUAGAGUGAUUUCGCGCGAAGAACGGA
This is a long non-coding RNA of Aedes albopictus (Asian tiger mosquito), 1373 nucleotides long. RefSeq lists it as uncharacterized. The transcript is spliced from 4 exons. The record is from RefSeq and is a predicted model, not a curated record. NCBI's taxonomy places the organism in Eukaryota, Metazoa, Arthropoda, Insecta, Diptera, Culicidae.